ACAACAUCGGACCGUCGCCGCGUCGGUCUACCGAGCAAUAUCACCCGCUCGGUGGAACAUCUUUCCUUUCGUCAU
This 75-nucleotide microRNA precursor is filed under the name Bombyx mori (domestic silkworm). Its description in RNAcentral is "mir-2774 microRNA precursor family". It matches the Rfam family "mir-2774 microRNA precursor family". The record is from Rfam by way of RNAcentral. Lineage: Eukaryota; Metazoa; Arthropoda; Insecta; Lepidoptera; Bombycidae.